GACGAACGCUGGCGGCGUGCUUAACACAUGCAAGUCGAACGGAAAGGCCCUGCGUUUGUGGGGUGCUCGAGUGGCGAACGGGUGAGUAACACGUGAGUAACCUGCCCUUGACUUUGUGAUAACUUCAGGAAACUGGGGCUAAUACCGGAUAGGAGCUCCUGCUGCAUGGUGGGGGUUGGAAAGUUUCGGCGGUUGGGGAUGGACUCGCGGCUUAUCAGCUUGUUGGUGGGGUAGUGGCUUACCAAGGCUUUGACGGGUAGCCGGCCUGAGAGGGUGACCGGCCACAAUAGGACUGCGGUACGGACCAGACUCCAACGGGAGGCAGCAGUGGGGAAUAUUGCACAAUGGGCGGAAGCGUGAUGCAGAAACGCCGCGUGCGGGAUGACGGCCUUCGGGUUGUAAACCGCUUUCGCAUGUGACGAAGCGUGAGUGACGGUAAUGGGUAAAGAAGCACCGGCUAACUACGUG
RNAcentral lists this ribosomal RNA (468 nucleotides) under uncultured bacterium. Its description in RNAcentral is "partial 16S ribosomal RNA". It matches the Rfam family "Bacterial small subunit ribosomal RNA", at positions 28 to 507 of the family's 1533-position model. The record is from RNAcentral.